CCUACGGGAGGCAGCAGUGAGGAAUAUUGGUCAAUGGCCGAGAGGCUGAACCAGCCAAGUCGCGUGAGGGAAGAAUGUCCUCUGGAUUGUAAACCUCUUUUGUCAGGGAGCAAAGUCACCGGCGUGUGGGUGUUGGAGUGUACCUGAAGAACAAGCAUAGGCUAACUCCGCGCCGGCAGCCGCGGUAAUACGGAGGAUCCGAGCGUUACCCGGAUUGAUUGGGUUUAAAGGGAGCGUCGGUGGAUUGUUAAGUCAGUUGUGAAAGUCUGCGGCUCAACCGUAAAAUUGCAGUUGAAACUGGCAGUCUUGAGUACAGUAGAGGUGGGUGGAAUUCGUGGUGUAGCGGUGAAAUGCGUAGAGAUGUCGAAGAACUCCGAUUGCGAAGGCAGCUCACUGGACUGCAACUGACACUGAGGCUCGAAAGUGUGGGUAUCAAACAGGAUUAGAUACCCGAGUAGUC
RNAcentral lists this ribosomal RNA (460 nucleotides) under uncultured bacterium. RNAcentral describes it as "partial 16S ribosomal RNA". It matches the Rfam family "Bacterial small subunit ribosomal RNA", at positions 338 to 795 of the family's 1533-position model. The record is from RNAcentral.